RNAcentral lists this ribosomal RNA (506 nucleotides) under uncultured bacterium. RNAcentral's name for it is "partial 16S ribosomal RNA". It matches the Rfam family "Bacterial small subunit ribosomal RNA", at positions 29 to 523 of the family's 1533-position model. The record is from RNAcentral.
AGUGAACGCUGGCGGUAGGCCUAACACAUGCAAGUCGAACGGCAGCACAGAGGAGCUUGCUCCUUGGGUGGCGAGUGGCGGACGGGUGAGGAAUACAUCGGAAUCUACUCUGUCGUGGGGGACAACGUAGGGAAACUUACGCUAAUACCGCAUACGACCUACGGGUGUAAGCAGGGGACCUUCGGGCCUUGCGCGAUUGAAUGAGCCGAUGUCGGAUUAGCUAGUUGGCGGGGUAAAGGCCCACCAAGGCGACGAUCCGUAGCUGGUCUGAGAGGAUGAUCAGGCACACUGGAACUGGGACACGGUCCAGACUCCUCCGGGAGGCAGCGGUGGGGAAUAUUGGACAAUGGGCGCAAGCCUGAUCCAGCCAUACCGCGUGGGUGAAGAAGGCCUUCGGGUUGUAAAGCCCUUUUGUUGGGAAAGAAAUCCAGCUGGUUAAUUCCCGGUUGGGAUGACGGUACCCAAAGAAUAAGCACCGGCUAACUUCGUGCCAGCAGCCGCCGUAA